Molecule: regulatory RNA element, 37 nt
Organism: Niastella yeongjuensis
Lineage: Bacteria; Pseudomonadati; Bacteroidota; Chitinophagia; Chitinophagales; Chitinophagaceae
Rfam family: DUF805b RNA
About the family: Bacteroidetes, Chlorobi (1 example), Proteobacteria. Lineage (Flavobacteria)
Source: Rfam
AAGGGGUAAGCCGAAAACCUUUAUAAACGAGUAGGCA